Molecule: ribosomal RNA, 402 nt
Filed under: uncultured bacterium
Lineage: Bacteria
Description: bacterial SSU rRNA
Rfam family: Bacterial small subunit ribosomal RNA
Source: RNAcentral
UCGGGAAUUUUGGGCAAUGGGCGAAAGCCUGACCCAGCAACGCCGCGUGAGGGAUGAAGUAUUUCGGUAUGUAAACCUCGAAAGAAUGGGAAGAAUAAAUGACGGUACCAUUUAUAAGCUCCGGCUAACUACGUGCCAGCAGCCGCGGUAAUACGUAGGGAGCAAGCGUUGUUCGGAUUUACUGGGCGUAAAGGGCGCGUAGGCGGCGCGGUAAGUCACUUGUGAAAUCUCGGAGCUUAACUCAGAACGGCCAAGUGAUACUGCCGUGCUAGAGUGCGGAAGAGGCAACCGGAAUUCUUGGUGUAGCGGUGAAAUGCGUAGAUAUCAAGAGGAACACCUGAGGCGAAGGCGGGUUGCUGGGCCGACACUGACGCUGAUGCGCGAAAGCCAGGGGAGCAAACG